RNAcentral lists this transfer RNA (74 nucleotides) under Gemmatimonadota bacterium. RNAcentral's name for it is "Gemmatimonadetes bacterium (activated sludge metagenome) tRNA-Ala". It matches the Rfam family "tRNA". Rfam says of the family: Transfer RNA (tRNA) molecules are approximately 80 nucleotides in length. Their secondary structure includes four short double-helical elements and three loops (D, anti-codon, and T loops). The record is from RNAcentral. Lineage: Bacteria; Pseudomonadati; Gemmatimonadota.
GGGCGGUUAGCUCAGUUAGUUAGAGCGCCACGUUGGCAUCGUGGAGGUCACAAGUUCGAGUCUUGUACCGCCCA